RNAcentral lists this long non-coding RNA (247 nucleotides) under Homo sapiens (human). RNAcentral's name for it is "non-protein coding lnc-CGA-4:1". Lineage: Eukaryota; Metazoa; Chordata; Mammalia; Primates; Hominidae. The record is from RNAcentral.
CAGCAGUCAUUGAUCUGGGAAAAAAGAGAGGUCAAGGUCCCAUAACUGGCAAACUCAAGUUGGUUGGAGAUGUGGAAUUUUAAGGAGUCAGGAAAAAAGCCAGUUACAUCAUUCCUGUUACUGGGGGUGUUGGUCCCAUGACAGAGGGAAUGUUAAUGGAAAAUACCAUUAUUGCUGCAAAAAAGUACUGAGGCUUGAUAAGUGGGAAGUGCUGAAGUCUAAAGAGCUUGAAAUAGCCACACAUUAG